Molecule: ribosomal RNA, 253 nt
Filed under: uncultured bacterium
Lineage: Bacteria
Description: partial 16S ribosomal RNA
Rfam family: Bacterial small subunit ribosomal RNA
Source: RNAcentral
UACGUAGGGUGCGAGCGUUGUCCGGAAUUAUUGGGCGUAAAGAGCUCGUAGGCGGUUUGUCGCGUCGACUGUGAAAACCCGAGGCUUAACCUCGGGCCUGCAGUCGAUACGGGCAGACUAGAGUUCGGUAGGGGAGACUGGAAUUCUCGGUGUAGCGGUGAAAUGCGUAGAUAUCGAGAGGAACACCUGCGGCGAAGGCGGGUUGCUGGGCUGACACUGACGCUGAGGCGCGAAAGCUAGGGGAGCGAACGGG